This 490-nucleotide ribosomal RNA is filed under the name uncultured bacterium. RNAcentral describes it as "partial 16S ribosomal RNA". It matches the Rfam family "Bacterial small subunit ribosomal RNA", at positions 30 to 507 of the family's 1533-position model. The record is from RNAcentral.
AUUGAACGCUGGCGGCAGGCCUAACACAUGCAAGUCGAACGGUAACAGGAAGAAGCUUGCUUCUUUGCUGACGAGUGGCGGACGGGUGAGUAAUGUCUGGGAAACUGCCUGAUGGAGGGGGAUAAGUACUGGAAACGGUAGCUAAUACCGCAUAACGUCGCAAGACCAAAGAGGGGGACCUUCGGGCCUCUUGCCAUCGGAUGUGCCCAGAUGGGAUUAGCUAGUAGGUGGGGUAACGGCUCACCUAGGCGACGAUCCCUAGCUGGUCUGAGAGGAUGACCAGCCACACUGGAACUGAGACACGGUCCAGACUCCUACGGGAGGCAGCAGUGGGGAAUAUUGCACAAUGGGCGCAAGCCUGAUGCAGCCAUGCCGCGUGUAUGAAGAAGGCCUUCGGGUUGUAAAGUACUUUCAGCGGGGAGGAAGGGAGUAAAGUUAAUACCUUUGCUCAUUGACGUUACCCGCAGAAGAAGCACCGGCUAACUCCGUG